GCGAAAGUGGCGGAAUUGGCAGACGCGCUAGACUCAGGAUCUAGUGGUAGCAAUACCAUGGGGGUUCAAAUCCCCCCUUUCGCA
Molecule: transfer RNA, 84 nt
Filed under: bacterium
Lineage: Bacteria
Also listed under: 1 other name
Description: tRNA-Leu
Rfam family: tRNA
About the family: Transfer RNA (tRNA) molecules are approximately 80 nucleotides in length. Their secondary structure includes four short double-helical elements and three loops (D, anti-codon, and T loops).
Source: RNAcentral